CAUCACCCCUAUCCGCCGCACGCUGCCUCUGUUUCCCCGGUAAGCUCACGCCAUUUCUGCCAGUGACCAGGUGCCACUCCCUUUCGCCGUAGCCAACCACCAGCUCCACGCCGUCGUGCCCCACCUCUCCGUGACGAUUAAUUAUUAUCCGACGCUUUUGAG
Molecule: long non-coding RNA, 162 nt
Organism: Juglans microcarpa x Juglans regia
Lineage: Eukaryota; Viridiplantae; Streptophyta; Magnoliopsida; Fagales; Juglandaceae
Exons: 3
Source: RefSeq, a predicted model, not a curated record